UCCUAGUUUCCCAGGCAGUCCCAUCAGAGUGCCUUCUUGCGAAGUAGCAACUGAUGGCAGGGGUUGCGCUCGUUAUAGGACUUAACCCAACAUCUCACGACACGAGCUGACGACAGCCAUGCAGCACCUGUGUAUAUGUCUUUGGUUUCCCAAAGAACACUCUAUCUCUAGAGCUGUCAUAUACAUGUCAAACCUAGGUAAGGUUCCUCGCGUAGUGACGAAUUAAACCACAUGUUCCACCGCUUGUGCGGAUCCCCGUCAAUUCCUUUGAGUUUUAAUCUUGCGAUCGUAAUCCCCAGGCGGAUCACUUAACGCGUUAGCUACGACACCAAUUCUGCAGAGCAGAACCAACGUCUAGUGAUCAUCGUUUACAGCGUGGACUAC
RNAcentral lists this unclassified non-coding RNA (384 nucleotides) under uncultured bacterium. RNAcentral describes it as "contains 16S-23S intergenic spacer region". The record is from RNAcentral.